RNAcentral lists this transfer RNA (73 nucleotides) under Plesiocystis pacifica. RNAcentral describes it as "tRNA-Ile". It matches the Rfam family "tRNA". From Rfam's summary of the family: Transfer RNA (tRNA) molecules are approximately 80 nucleotides in length. RNAcentral also lists the same sequence under 1 other name. The record is from RNAcentral. Lineage: Bacteria; Pseudomonadati; Myxococcota; Nannocystales; Nannocystaceae.
CGGCCUGUAGUUCAACGGUGAGAACGUCCGUCUGAUGAGCGGGAUGUUGCUGGUUCGAUUCCAGCCGGGCCGA